Cloeon dipterum is the source of this 446-nucleotide long non-coding RNA. RefSeq lists it as uncharacterized. The transcript is spliced from 3 exons. The record is from RefSeq and is a predicted model, not a curated record. Lineage: Eukaryota; Metazoa; Arthropoda; Insecta; Ephemeroptera; Baetidae.
ACUUUUUUGCGGUUGGCCAAUAUACAUAAAAAGACGCAGCGCCUGCGACGGGAAGCUCAGACCAAUUUUAUCAAAAUCACACACGACUCGUCCCACGCAGUCUGUUUCGACGCAAGCAAUGGCAAGAUACACAGUGAUUCUCGCGCUGGUGGCGUUCGUCCUCAUCGUCGGUGCCCAGGCCGCUGGCUAUAAUAAGGAUGGUACUAAGUGCGAAUGCUUCUGCCACAGAGCCAGGUUUAUAAUUUGCGGAAAAAAUUCAAAGGGCGAGUUCAAGCUUUUCGGAAACCCAUGCGAAAUGGAAUGCCAUAGCUGUCUCAAAAAAGACUAUUACGCCGCAACAGAUUUGUCGAAUUGCCCAGACAGAACUCGAGUUUAAUUUAAUUCUACGAAUAAACCCUUUUUUGGUGAAGAAUAUUGAAAAAAAUAAAUCGCAUAUUUAAAUUACA